RNAcentral lists this transfer RNA (85 nucleotides) under Chitinimonas sp. BJB300. RNAcentral's name for it is "tRNA-Leu". It matches the Rfam family "tRNA". From Rfam's summary of the family: Transfer RNA (tRNA) molecules are approximately 80 nucleotides in length. Their secondary structure includes four short double-helical elements and three loops (D, anti-codon, and T loops). The record is from RNAcentral. Lineage: Bacteria; Pseudomonadati; Pseudomonadota; Betaproteobacteria; Neisseriales; Chitinibacteraceae.
GCCCGGGUGGUGAAACUGGUAGACACAAGAGACUUAAAAUCUCUCGGCGAAAGCUGUGCCGGUUCGAUUCCGGCCCCGGGCACCA